Molecule: long non-coding RNA, 247 nt
Filed under: Ananas comosus (pineapple)
Lineage: Eukaryota; Viridiplantae; Streptophyta; Magnoliopsida; Poales; Bromeliaceae
Description: long non-coding RNA (ACOM_LNC036294)
Source: RNAcentral
UGGAGAGAAGUUUGAACGAAAUUGGUAAAGUGAAAAGAAACAGACCGCAAACCCUUAUAUCGGUUCGGGCGGAGGGACCGGUCUCUCCAAGUCUGGGACCGGCCCCAGAGCCAAAACCAAAAAAUCUAAUUUUCGUCCAGAAUUUUCAGAAAUUUUAUAUAAUAUCCUCAACAUAUCCAACAUAAAAAAUACACAAUAUCCAUCCCCAAAGACUUCCAAUAAAAUUUCAUAAAUAAAUUUUGAAAAA